This is a long non-coding RNA of Mangifera indica (mango), 428 nucleotides long. RefSeq lists it as uncharacterized. The transcript is spliced from 2 exons. The record is from RefSeq and is a predicted model, not a curated record. Lineage: Eukaryota; Viridiplantae; Streptophyta; Magnoliopsida; Sapindales; Anacardiaceae.
GUUGGGUCUUGUGUCAAAUCGUGAAGGUUCGCAUCAGUUGGUAUCAGAGCCGAGUCAAAUCAGGUUACAAUCAUGUUAUCAUGCCAAAAUAAAAGUUCUACUAAAAGUGAUGAUUUGAGGACAAAUCAUUUUAAAGAGAGGGGGAAUGAUGUGAUCCAUGGAAGACCAAGAACAUGUGAUCUAAUAAUGAAAAACUAUAACAAGAGUGUGGUAGGCUGUAUAACACUGAAAACAUUGAAGACAUAAGCUAAAGGUAAGAAGCAUGAUGUGGCAAUCAAAGAUGACGUGGAGAGCAUCAAACACAUAGAAAAUGAUAUGGCACAUCCUUGGUGACGUUUUACUUGACAAAAUAUGAAAUGGAAGCUUAAUUAGGCAAAAAUUCAUGUGAAGAAAGCAAGGGAAUUCAAUUGAAGUUCAAUUUCCUAGUA